UGGGGAAUCUUCCGCAAUGGACGAAAGUCUGACGGAGCAACGCCGCGUGAGUGAAGACGGCCUUCGGGUUGUAAAGCUCUGUGAUCCGGGACGAAAGAGCCUGAGGUGAAUAGCCUAAGGAAGUGACGGUACCGGAAAAGCAAGCCACGGCUAACUACGUGCCAGCAGCCGCGGUAAUACGUAGGUGGCAAGCGUUGUCCGGAAUUAUUGGGCGUAAAGCGCGCGCAGGCGGCUUCCUAAGUCCAUCUUAAAGGUGCGGGGCUUAACCCCGUGAUGGGAUGGAAACUGGGAAGCUGGAGUAUCGGAGAGGAAAGUGGAAUUCCUAGUGUAGCGGUGAAAUGCGUAGAGAUUAGGAAGAACACCGGUGGCGAAGGCGACUUUCUGGACGAAAACUGACGCUGAGGCGCGAAAGCGUGGGGAGCAAACAGG
Molecule: ribosomal RNA, 429 nt
Filed under: Fusobacteriota bacterium
Lineage: Bacteria; Fusobacteriati; Fusobacteriota
Description: Fusobacteria bacterium partial 16S ribosomal RNA
Rfam family: Bacterial small subunit ribosomal RNA
Source: RNAcentral